This 2827-nucleotide long non-coding RNA is filed under the name Citrus x clementina. RNAcentral's name for it is "Citrus clementina (C. clementina) long non-coding RNA (CCLE_LNC006313)". The record is from RNAcentral. Lineage: Eukaryota; Viridiplantae; Streptophyta; Magnoliopsida; Sapindales; Rutaceae.
CUAUGUGGGGGGCAUGGGCGAAGUUCGUCCGCCGGACUUGGAAUGGCCCCAGACUUGGCGGGCGGCCUCCGUGUGCCAAAAAUAGGCCACGGGCACAGCCGCGCCCAAAAAUCAGCCCCCGAAGGUCGGGGUUCCAAGACCCACCAGCGGAAAAAUGGCCAAAAAAAGGGUGGGCUAUAGCCUUGGUGGGGGGCGAGGGCGAAGUUCGUUCGCGGGACUCGGAAUGGCCCCAGACUUGGCGGGCGGCCUCCCUGUGCCAAAAAUAGGCCACGGGCACAGCCGCGCCCAAAAAUCAGCCCCCGAUGGUCGGGGUCCCAAGACCCCCCAGCGGAAAAAUGGCCAAAAAACGGGUGGGCUAUAGCCUUGGUGGGGGUCGUGGGCGAAGUUCGUCCGCGGGACUCGGAAUGGCCCCAGACUUGGCAGGCGGCCUCCCUGUGCCACAAAUAGGCCAUGGGCACAGCCGCGCCCAAUAAUCAGCCCCCGAAGGUCGGGGUCCCAAGACCCCCCAGCGGAAAAUUGGCCAAAAAACGGGUGGGCUAUAGCCUUGGUGGGGGGCGUGGGCGAAGUUCGUCGGCCGGACUCGGAAUGGCACCAGACUUCGCGGGCGGCCUCCGUGUGCCAAAAAUAGGCCACGGGCACAGCCGCGCCACAAAUCAGCCCCCGAAGGUCGGGGCCCCAAGACCCCCCAGCGGAAAAAUGGCCAAAAAACGGGUGGGCUAUAGCCUUGGUGGGGGGCGUGGGCGAAGUUCGUCCGCCGGACUCGGAAUGGCCCCAGACUUGGCGGGCGGCCUCCGUGUGCCAAAAAUAGGCCAUGUGCACAGCCGCGCCCAAAAAUCAGCCCCCGAAGGUCGUGGCCCCAAGACCCCCCAGUGGAAAAAUGGCCAAAAAACAGGUGGGCUAUAGCCUUGGUGGGGGGCGUGGGCGAAGUUCGUCGGCCGGACUCGGAAUGGCACCAGACUUGGUGGGCGGCCUCCGUGUGCAAAAAAUAGGCCACGGGCACAGCCGCGCCACAAAUCAACCCCCGAAGGUCGGGGUCCCAAGACCCCCCCGCGGAAAAAUGGCCAAAAAACGGAUGGCCUAUAGCCUAUGUGGGGGGCGCGGGCGAAAUUCGUCGUCCGGACUAGGAAUGGCCCCAGACUUGGCGGGCGGCCUCCCUGUGCCAAAAAUAGGCCCACGGGCACAGCCGCGCCCAAAAAAUCAGCCCCCGAAGGUCGGGGUCCCAAGACCCCCCAGCGGAAAAAUGGCCAAAAAACGGGUGGGCUAUAGCCUUGGUGGGGGUCGUGGGCGAAGUUCGUCCGCGGGACUCGAAAUGGCCCCAGACUUGGCGGGCGGCCUCCCUGUGCCAUAAAUAGGCCAUGGGCACAGCCGCGCCCAAUAAUCAGCCCCCGAAGGUCGGGGUCCCAAGACCCCCCAGCGGAAAAAUGGCCAAAAAACGGGUGGGCUAUAGCCUUGGUGGGGGGCGUGGGCGAAGUUCGUCCGCCGGACUCGGAAUGGCCCCAGACUUGGCGGGCGGCCUCCAUGUGCCAAAAAUAGGCCACGGGCACAGCCGCGCCCAAAAAUCAGCCCCCGAAAGUCGGGGCCCCAAGACCCCCCAGCGGAAAAACGGCCAAAAAAUGGGUGGGCUAUAGCCUUGGUUGGGGGCGUGGGCGAAGUUCGUCGGCCGGACUCGGAAUGGCACCAGACUUGGCGGCGGCCUCCGUGUGCCAAAAAUAGGCCACGGGCACAGCCGCGCUCAAAAAUCAGACCCCGAAGGUCGGGGUCCCAAGACCCCUCAGCGGAAAAAUGGCCAAAAAACGGGUGGGCUAUAGCCUUGGUAGGGGGCGUGGGCGAAAUUCGUCCGCGGGACUCGCAAUGGCGCCAGACUUGGCGGGCGGCCUCCGUGUGCUAAAAAUAGGCCACGGGCACAGCCGCGCGCAAAAAUCAGCCCCCGAAGGUCGGGGUCCCAAGACCCCCCAGCGGAAAAAUGGCCAAAAAACUGGUGGGCUAUAGCCUUGGUGGGGGGCGUGGGCGAAGUUCGUCCGCCGGACUCGGAAUGGCCCCAGACUUGGCGGGCGGCCUCCGUGUGCCAAAAAUAGGCCAUGUGCACUUCCAGCGCCCAAAAAUCAGCCCCCGAAGGUCGUGGCCCCAAGACCCCCCAGUGGAAAAAUGGCCAAAAAACAGGUGGGCUAUAGCCUUGGUGGGGGGCGUGGGCGAAGUUCGUCGGCCGGACUCGGAAUGGCACCAGACUUGGUGGGCGGCCUCCGUGUGCAAAAAAUAGGCCACGGGCACAGCCGCGCCCAAAAAUCAGCCCCCGAAGGUCGGGGUCCCAAGACCCCUCAGCGGAAAAAUGGCCAAAAAACAGGUGGGCUAUAGCCUUGGUAGGGGGCGUGGGCGAAGUUCGUCCGCGGGACUCGGAAUGGCACCAUACUUGGCGGGCGGCCUCCGUGUGCCAAAAACAGGCCACGGGCACAGCCACGCCCAAAAAUCAGCCCCCGAAGGUCGGGGUCCCAAGACCCCCCUGCUGAAUGGGGCGAGACUUUGCGAGACUUUGCGAGGGUCCUCGGGGUGCCAAAAAUAAGCCACGGGCAAAGCCGCGCCCAAAAAUAAGCGCCCGAAGGUCGUGGUGCCAAAACCCCCCAGCGGAAAAAAGGCCAAAAAACGGGUGGGCUAUAGCCUUGGUGGGGGGCGCGGGCGAAGUUCGUCCGCCGGACUCAGAAUGGGGCGAGACUUUACGAGGGGCCUCGGGGUGCCAAAAAUAAGACGCGGGCAAAGCCGCGCCCAAAAAUAAGAGCCCGAAGGUCAUGGUGCCAAAACACCCCAGCGGAAAAAUGGCCAAAAAACGGGUGGG